RNAcentral lists this ribosomal RNA (239 nucleotides) under uncultured bacterium. RNAcentral's name for it is "partial 16S ribosomal RNA". It matches the Rfam family "Bacterial small subunit ribosomal RNA", at positions 15 to 233 of the family's 1533-position model. The record is from RNAcentral.
GAUCAUGGCUCAGGACGAACGCUGGCGGCGCGCCUAACACAUGCAAGUCGAACGGAGUUAUUUUGGCAGAAGCCUUCGGGUGGACGCUGAUAUAACUUAGUGGCGAACGGGUGAGUAACACGUGAGCAACCUGCCCUUCAGAGGGGGACAACAGUUGGAAACGACUGCUAAUACCGCAUAAGACCACGGUGUGGCAUCACACAGAGGUCAAAGGAGAAAUCCGCUGAAGGAUGGGCUCG